RNAcentral lists this transfer RNA (77 nucleotides) under Aquihabitans sp. RNAcentral's name for it is "tRNA-Pro". It matches the Rfam family "tRNA". From Rfam's summary of the family: Transfer RNA (tRNA) molecules are approximately 80 nucleotides in length. Their secondary structure includes four short double-helical elements and three loops (D, anti-codon, and T loops). The record is from RNAcentral. Lineage: Bacteria; Bacillati; Actinomycetota; Acidimicrobiia; Acidimicrobiales; Iamiaceae. RNAcentral also lists the same sequence under 3 other names.
CUGGCCGUGGCGCAGCUUGGUAGCGCACCGCGUUUGGGACGCGGGGGUCGUGGGUUCAAAUCCCUCCGGCCAGACCA